AGCAUCUUUUGUGGGUCCAUAUAAAUUUUAGGAUUAUUUUUUCUAGUUCCGUGGAAAAUACUAUAGGCAUUUUGAUAGGGAUUGCAUUGAAUUUGUAGAUCAUUUUGGGUAACAGCUAUUUUAACUAUAUUAAUUAUUCCAAUCCAUGACUAUGGUAUAUCUUUUGUGUCAUCUUUCUUUCAUUAAUGUCCCACAGUUUUCAGAACACACAUCUUUUACUCCCUCAAUUAAAUUUAUUACUAUUUUAUUCUUUUUGAUACAAUUAUAAAUAAAACUGUUUUUUAAAAUUUCUGCUAUUUCAUUAUCAGUUUAUAGAAACAAUAAAAGAUUCUGUAUCUUGCAGCAGCUUUACUGAUAUCAUUUAUUAGUUCUAUUAGUUUUUUGAUGGGUCCAUAGAGUUUUCUAUAUAUAGCAUUACACCAUCUGCAAGUAUUGACAAUUUUACUUGUGCCUUACCAAUUUGGAUGUCAUUAUUUCUUUUUCUUGCCUGACAUCUAUGGCUAAGACUCCUAAUACUAUGCUGGAUAAAAGUGGUGAGAGUGAAAAUCCUUGUCUUCUUCCUAAUUUAGAGAUAAGACUUUCAAUUUCUCACCAUUAAAUAUAAUAUUAGCUGUGGCUUUGUCAUAUAGGACCUUUAUCAUGAUGAGUUAUAUUGUCUUUAAACCUACUUUGUGGAGAGUUUUUAUUGUAAACAGAUGUUGAAUUUUGUAAAACGCUUUUUCUGCAUCUAUUGAGAUAAUUAGACUUUUAUGUAUCUAUCGAUCCCUCUUAGUAUCUAUCCCUCCACAUACAUAUAUUUUCAAUAUUCCUAAAUUUUUGAUGCAAAGUCAUUUUUAUUAGUUUACAAAAAAACUUUUAGGGUAGUUCAUGCUCAGAGUUGGUAUUAUGGACAUAGAUGAUAGUGUUUUCUUUGGGUCAGAUAUAACAUUCAAUAGUUAAUAUCUUCUUUAAUGUCAUGUUGAUUAUAUUCUAUUAAGUCUCAACUUGCAUUUGUUUUUUUUUUAAGAUUUAUUCAUUCAUUCAUUCAUUCAUUAAUUCAUUCAUUCAUUCAUUGAGAGCGAAAGAGAGGCAGAGAGAGAAGCAGGCUCCAUGCAGGAAGCCCAACGUGGGACUCCAUCCCGGGUCUCCAGGAUCACACCCCGGGCUGCAGGUGGCGCUAAACCGCUGCGCCACCGGGGCUAACCUCAACUUACAUUUGAACUGGAACACUAAUUUGAGUUGACAUCUCAGUUGAGAAAAUUAUUGAACCAGAAAUCUGUCACCCACUAAUCAGUACAUAAGUGUAUUUUACUACCAUUAGUACCUAAUAUUACAAUAGAUUAUUUUUUAUUAUUAAAUUUUCAGAGAUACUUAAAAAUGAGACUUAUGACAUGAUCUCAAAUUCAUUAGUAGUUAUUCAUAUAAUUAAUUAAUCUGUGUAAUGAUUAUUCAAAUAUCUAAUGAAUGUCAGGUAUUGUUUUUGGAACACAGUUUAAAAACAAAAUAAAAAAGAACUAAAGAAAUUCCUUGCUCUCAUAAAGGUAACUUCCUAGUCAGGAAAGAUGGACAGUAGUAAAUAGUAAAAAAUAAGUCAAUAUAGUCUUUAUCAGGAGGCCAUAUGUAUUCAGAAAACAAACAGGUAUGGGGAUAAAAUAGCCAACUGCUAUUUUAUGUACUUAUUUUAUUAUAUAUUAUGUUAUAAUUAAUAUUAUAUUAUGGAAUAUAUAUUUCAGUUUGUGUCAAACUAUCGUCAUUGAAAAUGCCUUGCUUCUAUCUUAUUUUUUAAGUAUUUUAUUUAUUUACUUAUACACCCUUUAUCUAUUGCUAUAUUGUUCUCUCAUAUAAAAGCAACUAUUCUAGGAGUGCUUGGGUGGCUUAGCCAGUUGAGCAUUUGACUUUGACUCAGGUCACAAUCUCAUGGUCCUGGCAUUGAGUUCUGCAUCAAGGUCCUGCUCAGCAGGGAGUCUGCUUAUCUCUCUGUCCCCUGCCCAUCUAGUGCUCUCUCUUAAAUAAUUACAAUCUUUUUAAAAAGAAAAUAAUAAAUUUAAAAAGAUUCAAGCAAUUAUUCUAACAUACUUGGUAUACAUCAUACUGCUUGCAUAUGUUCUUAUAAACUAUUUUGGAUAUGAUUAAUUAAUUGCAGUGAACCUAUAGAUCUCAUUUUCUUCUCACGUUUUUCCCCAUUUAAUUAUAUGCUUUCUUACAUGUACAUCUAGUCAAUUUCUUAUGUUUGGCACAUUGAACUAGAGAAUUUGUUCACUAGAUAUGAUUCAACCAUUCUAGGGGGCCUAGUUAGUAUUUGUCAGCCAAGGAUCUUCAAAUAAGGCUGUAAAGUAUAUAUGUAAAGUCUAUGCAAAGUUAUGUUUUUUCUAUUACUGUUCUUUGAAUCAUAGAUUCUCAAGAUUGGAAUUAAAUUCUAAUGUCAUGUAGCAUAACUCAUUUUUCAAUGCUUAUAUUCCUUCUACAAGAACCAAGCUGACACAUAUGUUCUUAAACACUUGGAUGUAUCCAGUGAUACUGACUGAGUGAUAAUCAAAGUACAGUUUGAUAAUUAUGGGUAUUAAAAAGUUAUUUUUUAUAAUUAGAAGAAUAAAUCUGGUGAAAAAUGAAAAUGGGUAGAAUUAUUGGCAAAGUUGCAUCUAAAUAACUAGAGAUGCUAGCAUGAAACAGAUUUAGAAAAAUAAAAAUAUAUUACUAGGAAGUUCAGCUGGAAACAGACCGUUAGUGGGAACAGAAGUCUCUGAAGUUCAUGAAUCUAAAUAUUAUAAGAGUAGGGUUCCUAUAAAUUUUAAAGACAAAGUAAGAAAGAAAAUUAUGUGACUUCCAAAGCUAAAUGCAAAUCAAAACCAUAAUGAAAUAUCACCUCACAACUAUCAGAAUAGCUCUUAUGAAAAAAAAAAGAAAAAAAAAAAAGAGGGACUCCUGGGUGGCUCAGCAGUUGAGCAUCUGCCUUUGGCUCAAGGCAUGAUCCUGGGUCCCAGGAUCAAGUCCCACAUCGGGCUCCCUGCAAGCAGCCUGCUUCUCCCUCUGCUUAUGUCUCCGCCUCUCUCUGUUUGUCUCUCAUUAAUAAAUAAAAUAUUAAAAAAAAGGAGAUAAGAACUAACAAAUGUUGGUAAGAAUGUAGAGAAAGUCAGUCAUUGCAAAGGAAAGGAAUCUUGCCAUUUGGGACAACAUGAAUGAAACUUGUGGAUAUUAUGUUAAGUGAAAUAAAUCAGACAGGAAAAGGCAAAUAUUAUGUAAUUUUUUAAAAAAAGAUUUUAACAAAUAAGUCAUAGGGAUGUAGUGUACAGCAUGGGGAAUAUAGUCAAUAAUAAUGUAUUAACUUGUGUAGUGACACACAGUAACUAGACUUUUUGUAAUGUCAUUUUGCAAUGUGUACAAGUGUCUUAUUACUAUGUUGUAAACCUGAAACUAAUAUAUUUUAUGUCAAAAAUACCUCAAUUUAAAAAAAAUAACAGGAAGGAUUAUUUAAUCUUCAAAGCCAAAGAAAAGUUAUAAGUAAUUAUUGUUUUUAGAUUUGUGUCUAGAAAAUAUUGCAUUUAAUUAAACUCUAAAAUUCUCUUUCUAUUGUAUUAGAAAAUCAGUGUCUUGCUUGUGUAUGAUCUGGGAAAGAAGCAUGUUUCCGUUUCUCAUGUGUUUUCAAAGAGGACAAAUGGAAGUGUGACUCAGAGCAGGUUAAAACAUUUAAAUUAUACUUCAAAAAGAGUAGAAAUUAUUUCAGAGGAGAAGUUAGCUUUUUUCAGCCAGCCAGAGAAAAGAAAAAGUACAUAGUCUACUCUAAAAAUCAGGAAGGAACAGAUCUAUACUUCUCUGUUCCCAUAUUGUCUUUUAUAAGCACCAAAGACAAGUUAGCUAUGGCACUUCCUAGAGAAGGAAUUACUGGUUAUAUUCCAGGUUUCACUGAGUAUUCUCAUAUUUGUGUGUGGCGAUUGGGAGAGUAGGAAUGAGGUUAUGCCACGUCAGUGUCAGGUUUGGGUUUCUAGAAAGUCUGCGUGAUGAAGAGUAAUCAAUAAGGUCAUUAUGGAAAAUACAGCCUUAUGAUUUUUAAGUCAAGAAUAGAGAAAGCCAAUUAGGAGUUGCUAUGAAUAAGGAAUAUAAAACAAUAAAAAUAAAAUUUUAAAACAGGAAAACUCUGAAGCUUUGAGAUGAAUUUUUAAAAAUAAAAAAAAAUUGUCAGCAGCAUUCUUUACUGAGCAUAAACAAUUCUACAAAGUAUCAACAGUAAUAAUACAAGGCAUUCUGUGACAUGCCAAAAAUAUGCAAAAGGAAGACUGACCGAUAAACCUGUUGGAAUAUAAGAAAAAGACAAGGAUGAUAUAGUAUAUUAAAAACAAUUCCAACUCCCAACAAACAUGAAUAACAACUUAAUUUUUUUAACAAUGACAAGUGUAUCCCUGCUUGGUUCCUCGAACAGGCUAGACAAUAAACAACCAAAGAAACAGAUAAAUAGUUUAAGAUACCCAAUCGUCAAAUUGCCCUGCUUCCUGACAGAACUUAACUCAAAAUAAAUUACCCACUUCCUUAAGCCCUUCCUAAAUCAUUCAGCAAACAUCCAUACACUAUAUCAAGGCCAUCCUAACUCUUCCUUAGUCAGACACCCCAUAGUUCACCAUGGUGUAUAGUAGUCUCCCUUACUGCAACAAGUCAGUAAAUCUAACUUUGUUCAAUAUUAGUUAGGUCAUGGAGAAUGAGCUGUCAGUGUAAAUUAUGAAACUAAGGAUUUUCGGCUGAUGGCAGCCUCUGAUAUAAUCUGGAAAUGUAGGAAUACUACAAUCUAAGUACUAUUUUUGGAAUGUUCAUCAGAAAAGGGGCAUCAUUAACUCAAGUGCCUACAUUACUUUCUCCUUUAUACUUACAUAUGGGUCUUUGGAUAUACAAUAGUGCCUGUGGUAAAUGGAAGAAACAAAAUUAUUAAUAUUCUCUACUACAUUGUGAAUUAAUUUUUGUCAUCAGGCAUAGGUAAAGGAUUCUGAGAUUCUGAUUACAACAUGGGUAUAUAUUUCCUGAUAAAGUGAGUCAAUCAUGUCUUGACUACAAUGCCAUUUGUAGACAUCUUAGCAUGCUUGAAAAACAAAAAUAAACAUUUAAUUUCAUUUUUAAGUGCUUUUACCUCUCUUUACCAAAACACCAUGUCACAGAUUGCAACGUCCUUCUCACCUGGUUCCAAAAGGAGAAGACACAGGGAGCAGACCCUCAGUCUAUCUGUACUUUGGAGGAAAACUUCACUGAAACUGAGGUUCUCACAUAAUAUAAGCAAGAAAUACUCCUGGUAUUUAGGGGUUGUUUAUUAUGACAACAACUGACGCCUUUGGUCUUAGAACAAAACGUGUAUCAGGAGUGAGACAUGGGGUCAACAUUCUCUAUACACAUUAUCCAAAUCAUUACUUUUAUAAUACUAUGGCUUCUGCUCCUUUCUGACUCGCACCACCUAAGUUUUUCUUUCUCUCCUGUAUCAUGUAUGUACACAUCUGGUUUCUUUAGUACAUUCAUGAUAGCUUUAGCAGAUGGAUCCAUUGUCAUUUUUUCUGACUUUUCUGACUUAAAUCCAGCCCGAAUCCUGGGCAUUUUCAUGAUCCAUGUACAUAGGAACCAGGUAAAUCCAUUUCUGCUAGAUUAAAUAUGAUUACAAUGUUUUUAUUCUUCUUUUAUUGAGAGAGAGAUUAUAUUUUCACCUCUUGAAACUAGGCUAGCUUUAUGACUACCCUAAAUGUGGUCAGUAGAAUGUGGUAGAAGUUACUGUGUGAAUUCUAGUAUGUUGACGUCUUUUCUGUGUUGCCUAAAUACCACAGUUGAAAAUCUGAACCAUUCUCUUGCCAGCAACCUGAAUGUUACAUGGCCACUUGCACACCAAAACCUUUAAUAUGUAUUUGCACAGUCAACUGGAUUUCUUAAUUCUUCUAGAGUGUUCUAUGAUACUUGAUCUCACUAUUAUUUAUCCAAUCAUUUAAGCAUGGGGUGGGGCAACAAAUUAUUUUUCUUUUUCUCUCAGUACUUAUUUUACCUUAACAAGCAAAUAUACAAAUUUUAUGUUAUUUUACCCUAUUUUAUAUACUGAGAAACUGAGACCACGAGAGAUUAAUUGACUUGUGCAGAGCUUCAUGGUUAAUGAAUGUUAGAGUCAAUGGAUGUAUCUGAUGCCAAAAGCUUUGUGCUUUGUAUUUAUUCAAACUGAUGUUCUGUUUGUUUUUAUUUUUUUAACAUUUUUUAAAAAGAUUUUAUUUAUUUAUUUAUUCAUGAGAGACACAGAAA
Molecule: long non-coding RNA, 6228 nt
Filed under: Canis lupus familiaris (dog)
Lineage: Eukaryota; Metazoa; Chordata; Mammalia; Carnivora; Canidae
Description: lncRNA (ENSCAFG00000059034.1)
Source: RNAcentral